CGAAUUACAAAAUAAAGAGAGCUAUCUGUCGACAGUCUAGUUUUUUAUUACUGUCAUGGAAUUGCUCUCUUUAUAUAGUAUUCG
This is a non-coding RNA of Stomoxys calcitrans (stable fly), 84 nucleotides long. Lineage: Eukaryota; Metazoa; Arthropoda; Insecta; Diptera; Muscidae. The record is from Rfam.